RNAcentral lists this ribosomal RNA (207 nucleotides) under uncultured bacterium. RNAcentral's name for it is "partial 16S ribosomal RNA". It matches the Rfam family "Bacterial small subunit ribosomal RNA", at positions 568 to 774 of the family's 1533-position model. The record is from RNAcentral.
UGCGUAGGUGGCGCGGUAAGUCGGGUGUGAAAUUUCGGAGCUUAACUCCGAAACUGCAUUCGAUACUGCCGGGCUUGAGGACUGGAGAGGAGACUGGAAUUUACGGUGUAGCAGUGAAAUGCGUAGAGAUCGUAAGGAAGACCAGUGGCGAAGGCGGGUCUCUGGACAGUUCCUGACACUGAGGCACGAAAGCCAGGGGAGCAAACG